AGAAAACUAUUUCUGAUACAAACCAACUUCCCCUGAACAGGAAGACUCCCCAACUUAAAUUUAGGUUGUUUUUGUAGAAAAACCUCCACACAUUAUAUGUAUAUGUGAGACUUCAAACUUUACAGGGUUAUGUGUGGAACUGACUGAUUUUCUAGCGAUAUAUGCAUGUGAAAGCUUAUACAUUUUAUUCUUUCAUUGAAGUAGAGUUGGGUUAAGCCAUGGGAAAAGCCCUUAUAUUGAGGAAUUUCAAUUUCAGGUUCGAGUUAUGCUCAUGUCGCUGAAGGCUGGAAAUCUCGGUUUGAACAUGGUUGCUGCUUGCCAUGUGAUUCUUCUUGAUCUUUGGUGGAACCCAUAUGCUGAAGAUCACGCCGUUGAUUGAGCACAUAGAAUCGGUCAGACUCGGCCCGUAACUGUUUCUCGUCUAACUGUUAAAGAUACAGUGGAGGACCGUUUAUUAGCCCUACAGGAGGAGAAGCGAAGGAUGGUAUCUUCCGCUUUCGGGGAAGGAGCUGGUGGCCACACUACUCGCCUCACGGUGGAAGAUCUGAGAUACCUCUUUAUGGUAUGAGCACUAACCAUAGGAUUCAGUGAAAUUUUUUGGGGGAGGGGUUUGUUUAUGGCUAUGGCAAUCGUGCAAGCCGAGCAUUAAGUAAACCAAGUGACUCAAAGAGUUUUGCUUCUUGUCGAUCACCACCAGAUUGAGUAGAUUGAGUGGGCGCUUGUGUAAUUCACAAUAGUUUAGCAUAAUAGUUAGUUGAAUUGAGAUAUGUAAUGGUGGUAACUAUUUGUACAUAGUUGUUGUUCUCGAUGUUCGUUCGAUGCCUAACUAUUGAACAGGACAUGAAGCUCAUAAUGUAAUGUGAUCUUACAGCUUCAGUUUUAACUUGUGGUUGAUCUUUUCUUUCUAAACU
Long non-coding RNA from Ananas comosus (pineapple), 911 nucleotides. RefSeq lists it as uncharacterized. The transcript is spliced from 2 exons. Lineage: Eukaryota; Viridiplantae; Streptophyta; Magnoliopsida; Poales; Bromeliaceae. The record is from RefSeq and is a predicted model, not a curated record.